GACGAACGCUGGCGGCGUGCUUAACACAUGCAAGUCGAACGGAGUGGCGAACGGGUGAGUAACACGUGGGUGAUCUGCCUUGCACUUCGGGAUAAGCUUGGGAAACUGGGUCUAAUACCGGAUAGUGCAAGAUGAGCUCGCGGCCUAUCAGCUUGUUGGGGUGGUAAGGGCCUCCCAAGGCGUCGAAGGGUAGCCUGCCUGAGAGGGUGGACGGGAACCAUGGGACUGAGAUACGGCGCAGAAUCGUACGGGAGGCAGUAGGGGGGAAUAUUGCACAAUGGGCGGAAGCCUGAUGCAGCGACGCCGGGUGGGGGAUGAAGGCCUUCUGGUUGUAAACACCUUUCGACAGGGACGCGGUACCUGUAUAAGAAGCACCGGCUAACUACGUGCCAGCAGCCGCGGUAAUUC
This 408-nucleotide ribosomal RNA is filed under the name uncultured bacterium. RNAcentral describes it as "partial 16S ribosomal RNA". It matches the Rfam family "Bacterial small subunit ribosomal RNA", at positions 28 to 526 of the family's 1533-position model. The record is from RNAcentral.